AUCUAAGUACCCGGAGGAAAAGAAAGAAACAUCGAUUUCGUCAGUAGCGGCGAGCGAAAGCGAAGGAGCCCAAACCAUCCGACUACGGUUGGGUGGGGUUGUGGGUCAGCAACAUGUACGAUGAUGCUUAGGAGAAGAGUUCUGGAAAGGACUUCCAAAGAGGGUAAGAGGCCCGUAUCCGAAAAGUUGAAUCGGCUAGCUGAUACCAGAGUACCACAGGACACGAGGAAUCCGGUGGGAAGCAGGAGGGACCACCCUCCAAGGCUAAAUACGAUCCAGUGACCGAUAGCGCAUAGUACCGUGAGGGAAAGGUGAAAAGAACCCCGGGAGGGGAGUGAAAAAGAACCUGAAACCCUGUGCUUACAAGCAGAGAGAGCACGAUUAAGUGUGAUCUCGUACUUUUUGUAGAACGGACCGGCGAGUUACGUUAUGCAGCGAGGUUAAGGACUGAAGGUCCGGAGCCGAAGCGAAAGCGAGUCUGAAUAGGGCGCAUAGUUGCAUGACGUAGACCCGAAACCGGGUGACCUAUCCAUGGGCAGGUUGAAGUGGAAGUAAAAUUUCAUGGAGGACCGAACCAGACGUCUGUUGAAAAAGGCGGGGAUGACCUGUGGAUAGCGGAGAAAUUCCAAUCGAACCCGGAGAUAGCUGGUUCUCCUCGAAAUAGCUUUAGGGCUAGCCUCGCAUUAGUUUACCGGAGGUAGAGCACUGAAUGGUCUAGGGGGCCUCACCGCCUACCGAAACCUAUCAAACUGCGAAUGCCGGAUAAAUGAUGUGCGGGAGUCAGGCCGCGAGAGAUAAGUUCCGCGGUCAAAAGGGGAACACCCCAGAUCGUCUGCUAAGGUCCCUAAGUACGCGUUAAGUGGGAAAGGAUGUUGGAUUGCACAGACAACCAGGAUGUUGGCUUAGAAGCAGCCACACAUUCAAAGAGUGCGUAAUAGCUCACUGGUCGAGUGAUCCAGCGCCGAAAAUGUAACGGGGCUAAAACGCGACACCGAAGCAGCGGGAUGCGUAAGCAUCGGUAGAGGAGCAUUGUGUGAGGGUUGAAGCCAGAGCGGGAGCACUGGUGGACUUCACAGAAGAGAGAAUGCCGGUAUGAGUAGCGAGACCCAUGCGAGAAACAUGGGCGUCGAAGGCCCAAGGUUUCCUGGGGAAGGUUCAUCCACCCAGGGUAAGUCGGGACCUAAGCCGAGGACUGAGGUCGUAGGCGAUGGACAGCAGGUAGAGAUUCCUGCACCACUUAUACUUGUUUGACGAAGCAGUGACACAGAAGGAUAGGACGGGCGCGGUGAUGGUCAACCGCGUAGGCGGCACGAGGCCGGGAAGCAGUGAAGUACACUUCCCGCAAAGGCUGAGUGUUGACAGGACCGAAAAGAAGUAGGGAAGCGUCCGAGUUCACGCUGGCGAGAAAAGCUGCUAAGGAGAGUGUGAGUGCCCGUACCGGAAACCGACGCAGGUGGGCGAGGAGAGAAUCCUGAGACGGACGGGAGAACUCUUGUUAAGGAACUCGGCAAAAUGACCCCGUAACUUCGGGAGAAGGGGUGCCUCGAAAGAGGCCGCAGAGAAUAGUCACAAGCGACUGUUUAGCAAAAACACAGGUAUCUGCGAAAGCGAGAGCUGACGUAUAGGUGCUGACGCCUGCCCGGUGCUGGAAGGUUAAGGGGAAGUGUUAGGGGAAACCCGAAGCAGAGAACCGAAGCCCCAGUAAACGGCGGCCGUAACUAUAACGGUCCUAAGGUAGCGAAAUUCCUUGUCGGGUAAGUUCCGACCCGCACGAAUGGCGUAACGACUUGUGAGCUGUCUCAACAGGAGGCCCGGUGAAAUUGAAGUAUGUGUGAAGAUGCACAUUACCCGCGACUGGACGGAAAGACCCCGUAGAGCUUUACUGUAACCUGACAUUGGAUCUUGAUAACGGAUGCACAGGAUAGGUGGGACGCUGGGAGACGAGGACUUUGGUUUUCGUGGAGCGGUCGUUGGGAUACCACUCUUCUGUUAUUGAGAUUCUAACCUCAAGCCGUGAGCCGGAUGAGAGACAGUGUCAGGCGGACAGUUUGACUGGGGCGGUCGCCUCCGAAAGAGUAACGGAGGCGCCCAAAGGUACCCUCAGAAUGGAUGGAAACCAUUCGAAGAGAGCAAAGUCAGAAGGGUGCUUGACUGCGAGACCAACAAGUCGAGCAGGUACGAAAGUAGGGCUUAGUGAUCCGGCGGUAAGAGAGUGGAAU
Molecule: ribosomal RNA, 2219 nt
Filed under: human gut metagenome
Description: bacterial LSU rRNA
Rfam family: Bacterial large subunit ribosomal RNA
Source: RNAcentral